Molecule: ribosomal RNA, 279 nt
Filed under: uncultured bacterium
Lineage: Bacteria
Description: partial 16S ribosomal RNA
Rfam family: Bacterial small subunit ribosomal RNA
Source: RNAcentral
UGCCAGCCGCCGCGGUAAUACAGAGGGUGCAAGCGUUAAUCGGACUUACUGGGCGUAAAGGGUGCGUAGGCGGAUUGAUAUGUCAGCUGUGAAAGGCCAGGGCUUAACCUUGGAAAGUCAGUUGAAACUGUUAAUCUAGAGUGGAGUAGAGGUGAGUGGAAUUCCUGGUGUAGCGGUGAAAUGCGUAGAUAUCGGGAGGAACACCAGUGGCGAAGGCGACUCACUGGGCUCACACUGACGCUGAGGCACGAAAGCGUGGGUAGCGAACAGGAUUAGAUA